RNAcentral lists this ribosomal RNA (354 nucleotides) under Microascus croci. RNAcentral's name for it is "LSU rRNA". It matches the Rfam family "Eukaryotic large subunit ribosomal RNA", at positions 262 to 637 of the family's 3401-position model. The record is from RNAcentral. Lineage: Eukaryota; Fungi; Ascomycota; Sordariomycetes; Microascales; Microascaceae.
GAGUCGAGUUGUUUGGGAAUGCUGCUCAAAAUGGGAGGUAAACCCCUUCUAAAGCUAAAUACUGGCCAGAGACCGAUAGCGCACAAGUAGAGUGAUCGAAAGAUGAAAAGCACUUUGAAAAGAGAGUUAAAAAGCACGUGAAAUUGUUGAAAGGGAAGCGCUUGCGACCAGACUCGCGCCCGUCGGAUCAGCCGUCGCUUGCGGCGGUGCACUCCGGCGGGCUCGGGCCAGCAUCAGUUCGCCUCGGGGGGAGAAAGGCGGCAGGAAUGUGGCUCUUCGGAGUGUUAUAGCCUGCCGUAUAAUACCCCCGGGCGGACUGAGGACCGCGCGUAUGCAAGGAUGCUGGCGUAAUGG